GUAUUAAAGGUGCUGCCUGCCCAGUGAGACAAUUUUAACGGCCGCGGUAUCCUAACCGUGCAAAGGUAGCGUAAUCACUUGUCUUUUAAAUAAAGACUAGUAUGAAAGGCUAAAUGAAGACGAAACUGUCUCAUAUAGUUGACCAGUUAAACUGAUCUCCAAGUACAAAAGCUUGGAUAAAUACAUAAGACGAGAAGACCCUGUGGAGCUUAAAACUAACACUAUACCAACAAAAUAGCACAAGUUUUAAGUUGGGGCGACUUCGGAACAAAGUAAAACUUCCGAGCACAGAGCCACCCCUCUAACCUAGACCAACAAGUCAAAGAACAAAAAUGACCCAGUCUAACUGAUCAACGAACCAAGUUACCCCAGGGAUAACAGCGCCAUCUUCUUCAAGAGUUCAUAUCGACAAGAAGGUUUACGACCUCGAUGUUGGAUCAGGACACCCUAAUGGUGCAGCAG
This 462-nucleotide ribosomal RNA is filed under the name Carlia vivax. RNAcentral's name for it is "partial 16S ribosomal RNA". It matches the Rfam family "Bacterial large subunit ribosomal RNA", at positions 1843 to 2561 of the family's 2925-position model. Lineage: Eukaryota; Metazoa; Chordata; Lepidosauria; Squamata; Scincidae. The record is from RNAcentral.